AUUGAACGCUGGCGGCAUGCCUUACACAUGCAAGUCGAACGGCAGCACGGGAGCAAUCCUGGUGGCGAGUGGCGAACGGGUGAGUAAAGUAUCGGAACGUACCUUUCAGUGGGGGAUAACGUAGCGAAAGUUACGCUAAUACCGCAUAUUCUGUGAGCAGGAAAGCAGGGGAUCGCAAGACCUUGCGCUGAUUGAGCGGCCGAUAUCAGAUUAGGUAGUUGGUGGGGUAAAGGCUCACCAAGCCAACGAUCUGUAGCUGGUCUGAGAGGACGACCAGCCACACUGGAACUGAGACACGGUCCAGACUCCUACGGGAGGCAGCAGUGGGGAAUUUUGGACAAUGGGCGCAAGCCUGAUCCAGCCAUUCCGCGUGCAGGAUGAAGG
This 384-nucleotide ribosomal RNA is filed under the name uncultured bacterium. RNAcentral describes it as "bacterial SSU rRNA". It matches the Rfam family "Bacterial small subunit ribosomal RNA", at positions 30 to 414 of the family's 1533-position model. The record is from RNAcentral.